GACGAACGCUGGCGGCGUGCUUAACACAUGCAAGUCGAACGGAAAGGCCCUGCUUUUGUGGGGUGCUCGAGUGGCGAACGGGUGAGUAACACGUGAGUAACCUGCCCUUGACUUUGGGAUAACUUCAGGAAACUGGGGCUAAUACCGGAUAGGAGCUCCUGCUGCAUGGGGGGGGUUGGAAAGUUUCGGCGGUUGGGGAUGGACUCGCGGCUUAUCAGCUUGUUGGUGGGGUAGUGGCUUACCAAGGCUUUGACGGGUAGCCGGCCUGAGAGGGUGACCGGCCACAUUGGGACUGAGAUACGGCCCAGACUCCUACGGGAGGCAGCAGUGGGGAAUAUUGCACAAUGGGCGGAAGCCUGAUGCAGCAACGCCGCGUGCGGGAUGACGGCCUUCGGUUUGUAAACCGCUUUCGCCUGUGACGAAGCGUGAGUGACGGUAAUGGGUAAAGAAGCACCGGCUAACUACGUG
This 468-nucleotide ribosomal RNA is filed under the name uncultured bacterium. RNAcentral's name for it is "partial 16S ribosomal RNA". It matches the Rfam family "Bacterial small subunit ribosomal RNA", at positions 28 to 507 of the family's 1533-position model. The record is from RNAcentral.